RNAcentral lists this ribosomal RNA (501 nucleotides) under uncultured bacterium. RNAcentral's name for it is "partial 16S ribosomal RNA". It matches the Rfam family "Bacterial small subunit ribosomal RNA", at positions 28 to 523 of the family's 1533-position model. The record is from RNAcentral.
GACGAACGCUGGCGGCGUGCCUGAUACAUGCAAGUCGAGCGAGGGUCUUCGGACCCUAGCGGCGGACGGGUGAGUAACACGUAGGCAACCUGCCCGUAAGACUGGGAUAACAUAGGGAAACUUAUGCUAAUACCAGAUAGGGUGCUUUCUCGCAUGAGGAGGUACGGAAAGAUGGCGCUUCGGCGUCACUGUAGGAUGGGCCCGCGGUGCAUUAGCUAGUUGGUGGGGUAACGGCCUACCAAGGCAACGAUGCAUAGCCGACCUGAGAGGGUGAUCGGCCACAUUGGGACUGAGACACGGCCCAAACUCCUACGGGAGGCAGCAGUAGGGAAUCUUCCACAAUGGACGAAAGUCUGAUGGAGCAACGCCGCGUGAGUGAUGAAGGUUUUCGGAUCGUAAAACUCUGUUGUAAGGGAAGAACAAGUACGUUAGGAAAUGAACGUACCUUGACGGUACCUUAUUAGAAAGCCACGGCUAACUACGUGCCAGCAGCCGCCGUAA